This 428-nucleotide ribosomal RNA is filed under the name uncultured bacterium. RNAcentral's name for it is "bacterial SSU rRNA". It matches the Rfam family "Bacterial small subunit ribosomal RNA", at positions 355 to 775 of the family's 1533-position model. The record is from RNAcentral.
UGGGGAAUUUUGGACAAUGGGGGAAACCCUGAUCCAGCCAUCCCGCGUGUGCGAUGAAGGCCUUCGGGUUGUAAAGCACUUUUGGCAGGAAAGAAACGUCAUGGGCUAAUACCCCGUGAAACUGACGGUACCUGCAGAAUAAGCACCGGCUAACUACGUGCCAGCAGCCGCGGUAAUACGUAGGGUGCAAGCGUUAAUCGGAAUUACUGGGCGUAAAGCGUGCGCAGGCGGUUCGGAAAGAAAGAUGUGAAAUCCCAGAGCUUAACUUUGGAACUGCAUUUUUAACUACCGAGCUAGAGUGUGUCAGAGGGAGGUGGAAUUCCGCGUGUAGCAGUGAAAUGCGUAGAUAUGCGGAGGAACACCGAUGGCGAAGGCAGCCUCCUGGGAUAACACUGACGCUCAUGCACGAAAGCGUGGGGAGCAAACAG